RNAcentral lists this ribosomal RNA (458 nucleotides) under uncultured bacterium. RNAcentral's name for it is "partial 16S ribosomal RNA". It matches the Rfam family "Bacterial small subunit ribosomal RNA", at positions 29 to 507 of the family's 1533-position model. The record is from RNAcentral.
AACGAACGCUGGCGGCAUGCCUAACACAUGCAAGUCGAACGAGACCUUCGGGUCUAGUGGCGCACGGGUGCGUAACGCGUGGGAACCUGCCAUUAGGUUCGGAAUACCUCACCGAAAGGGGUGCUAAUACCGGAUAAUGUCUUCGGACCAAAGAUUUAUCGACUUUGGAUGGGCCCGCGUUGAAUUAGCUAGUUGGUAGGGUAAAAGCCUACCACGGCAACGAUCCGUAGCUGGUCUGAGAGGAUGAUCAGCCACACUGGGACUGAGACACGGCCCAGACUCCGACGGGAGGCAGCAGUAGGGAAUCUUCCGCAAUGGGCGAAAGCCUGACGGAGCAACGCCGCGUGAGUGAUGAAGGUCUUCGGAUCGUAAAACUCUGUUAUUAGGGAAGAACAAAUGUGUAAGUAACUAUGCACGUCUUGACGGUACCUAAUCAGAAAGCCACGGCUAACUACGUG